GACGAACGCUGGCGGCGUGCUUAACACAUGCAAGUCGAACGGAAAGGCCCCUUUGGGGGUACUCGAGUGGCGAACGGGUGAGUAACACGUGAGUAACCUGCCCUUGACUUCGGGAUAACUUCAGGAAACUGGGGCUAAUACCGGAUAGGAAUCCUUGCUGCAUGGUGGGGGUUGGAAAGCUUCGGCGGUUUUGGAUGGACUCGCGGCUUAUCAGCUUGUUGGUGGGGUAGUGGCUUACCAAGGCUUUGACGGGUAGCCGGCCUGAGAGGGCGACCGGCCACAUUGGGGCUGAGAUACGGCCCAGACUCCUACGGGAGGCAGCAGGGGGGAAUAUUGCACAAUGGGCGGAAGCCUGAUGCAGCAACGCCGCGUGCGGGAUGACGGCCUUCGGGUUGUAAACCGCUUUCAGCAGGGGCGAAGCUUGUGGUGACGGUACCUGCAGAAGAAGCACCGGCUAACUACGUG
RNAcentral lists this ribosomal RNA (465 nucleotides) under uncultured bacterium. RNAcentral describes it as "partial 16S ribosomal RNA". It matches the Rfam family "Bacterial small subunit ribosomal RNA", at positions 28 to 507 of the family's 1533-position model. The record is from RNAcentral.